Molecule: ribosomal RNA, 126 nt
Filed under: Lepisosteus oculatus (spotted gar)
Lineage: Eukaryota; Metazoa; Chordata; Actinopteri; Semionotiformes; Lepisosteidae
Source: RNAcentral
GCCAGCAGCCAUAUCACCCUGCAACUCACAACUCACAACUGGCAACCUACUGAAGGUAAGCAGGUGUGAGCCUGGUCAGUACCUGGAUGGGAGACCUCCUUGGAAAAACUAAGGUUGCUGCUGGAA